Molecule: long non-coding RNA, 1464 nt
Organism: Scylla paramamosain (green mud crab)
Lineage: Eukaryota; Metazoa; Arthropoda; Malacostraca; Decapoda; Portunidae
Exons: 5
Source: RefSeq, a predicted model, not a curated record
GCUCACAGAGCAAAAAUUGAUACUUGUGAAAGGAGUGCACCGAACACCUCAGAAGCCUGGGAAUCCACCCAUUAUAAUUUCACAACACAGGGUCACUAAACAGUAUCCCGCAUAAGGCCCCCAAAAGGUUAUAAACAGGCUUUGAGAGAGAGAGAGAGAGAGAGAGAGAGAGAGAGAGAGAGAGAGAGAGAGAGAGAGAGAGAGAGAGAGAGAGAGAGAGUAGGAUUUCCUUGCAUGCUUAGGAAUGUGUGUUUGUCACAUUAUCUACGUGUCUCGCCAAUCAUCAUCAUCAGCAGCAGCAGCAGCAUCAGCAUCUUGUUCUCUUCUCUCUCAGAGUUUAAGGAGAGACUAUGAGAAACUGUGCACCAAAAGAUUCAAGUGUAACAGCCUUCUAUAGUUACAAAACAGUCAGGCUAUCAAAUUAUACAACAGCUAACGAGCAAUAUUGAGCGUUAUAUGAACUAUGCUUGAGUUAAAUUGAUUUACUCUUGCUAUACAUUCAUAUAUCACAUUAUUGAGUGCAGUAGGCGUGUCUGUACAUUCUAAAGUGACAGACAGCCUUUAUGAACACCAGCUCCUAAUAAAUAUGAUCCUCGUUACUUCACUUGAAUAACCCUAGAUGAUUUAAACUUCAGAAAUAACUUUUUUUUCCCCGUCAGUAGUGUGACUUCAAAUUAUACUCCAAAAUUAUACUAUAUUUUAUUAAACUUGAGAGAGAAAAACAAGUAAAUUAAGAUUGCUUCGGAAAUUCGUGUGACACUAAGACUCGAAUCAUCUGCUAUCUCGUCGUGGGCUUUGUUUUCUAUCGCUAGAAGUUUACGUCACGCAGUCGAGAGGCGACGGCUUGUAAUAGCAACAGAACCUUGGAAGAAGAAGGACGUGUGGUGUGGAAGUCAAGAUUCUGUUUUCGUUUCGUUUUCCGAGUGUCAUUUCUGUGUGUGUGUGGAGAUGUGUGUCUUGAGGGAGACCAAAUGGACGGAGACUUGUGGUGGUUCCUCGUCACCCUCGUCCCCCUCCUCGCCCUCGUCCCCAUCGCUUACGUAGUGUUCCUUGUUGGUGAUGCCUGGUGGUUUGUGUAGGUGGUUAAGUGCAUGGAAGUGACAGGCAACGCAAGGAAAGAUAAUGUAGGAUUUGAUAGUGAUGUAGCGCAAGAAGGUGAGGGUAACUACUCGAUUGCUGGUAUAAUAGGCCUUGACUUCAGUGCUGGUGAUCAAUUUCCUGUGGUGUGGCAGGCUGCGUCUGGUGCUGCUGAUGGCAGUGCGUCGUCCAGGCUGGUGGUGGUGUGUCUGGUGGGUGUUGCUGAGACCUGCUGCCACUACCGCCGCCGCCGCCAAGACACACUGAAGAGACUCUUCAUUGUACCAGUGUGUCAGACUGUGUGGACUUGUAGUGUUGCAAGUAACGAGCUUCCCAGUGUACAAUAAGUCGAAGACUCCCUACCAUGAAUUAAAGAUAUUGAUUGAU